RNAcentral lists this ribosomal RNA (499 nucleotides) under uncultured bacterium. RNAcentral describes it as "bacterial SSU rRNA". It matches the Rfam family "Bacterial small subunit ribosomal RNA", at positions 29 to 517 of the family's 1533-position model. The record is from RNAcentral.
AGUGAACGCUGGCGGCAGGCCUAAUACAUGCAAGUCAAACGGCAGCACGGCAGAGCUUGCUCUGUGGGUGGCGAGUGGCGGACGGGUGAGGAAUACAUGGGAAUCUGCCCAGUCGUGGGGGAUAACGUAGGGAAACUUACGCUAAUACCGCAUGCGCCCUUCGGGGGAAAGCCGGGGACCUUCGGGCCUGGCGCGAUUGGAUGAGCCCAUGUCGGAUUAGCUAGUUGGCGGGGUAAUGGCCCACCAAGGCGACGAUCCGUAGCUGGUCUGAGAGGAUGAUCAGCCACACUGGAACUGAGACACGGUCCAGACUCCUACGGGAGGCAGCAGUAGGGAAUAUUGGACAAUGGGCGCAAGCCUGAUCCAGCCAUGCCGCGUGAGUGAAGAAGGCCCUCGGGUUGUAAAGCUCUUUUGUCCGGAAAGAAAAGCGCCGGGUUAAUACCCUGGUGUCCUGACGGUACCGGAAGAUAAGCACCGGCUAACUUCGUGCCAGCAGCCG